Molecule: non-coding RNA, 516 nt
Organism: Drosophila virilis
Lineage: Eukaryota; Metazoa; Arthropoda; Insecta; Diptera; Drosophilidae
Source: RefSeq, a predicted model, not a curated record
UACGAUUUUGGCUAUGACUAUGGCGAAGACUAUAACAGCGACUGGCACGGACGAGCGGCGCUCAGUACUUUGAGGGUAGUUAGUUGGACAACGGCUUUGCCGAAAAACGGGCCCCACAGCAGCAGCUGCCGCACAACAAUUUUUUGGCUGGCUCGUAAAAAAGAGCGCAGAGCGGCGGGCAGCUCACCCAACUCCAACUUCGCGUCGAACCUUAUAAAUCACUCGUUGAGCACGCAGCACUCGAGCAACAACACGAGCAAAAAUAUAUAUAUAAAAAAAAAAAAACAUAUUAUAAUAAUGUGCUUUAAUUAACUGUGCAGCAUAACAACAAGUAGACCAAAGAAAAAAAUAGCUCAACAGAGUUUAACCAAAGUGCGGUGUGUGUGUUUUUUUACCCUCAACAGUCAUGUACAUACAUAAAAAAAAGUAAAUAAAUGCAUUAACUAACAAGCGGCUAUUAACAAAAUGCAAUCAGUCAGCAGACAGUGAAAGUUCAAAAGUUAAUUAUAAAAAAAA